UGUGGGACCCAAUACCGAACUUGAACUCACAACCCUGAGAUCAAGAGUCAGAUACUCAACCAACUGAGCCACCCAGGCACCCACACACAUACUCUUUUAGUUAUUUUUAAAGUUAGGUUUUUCACAUUCUUCCUAUAUGCACAGUUAUUUUCUUUGUUUAAUGCUUAUUGUUUUAUAACAAUUAUACCUUCCUAUAGCAUAGGUUAAAUAAGUAGUAUGUAGGAAAGCACUCUAAAUACAAAACAAACAAACAGACAAACAAAAACCAAAAAAAAAAACUUUUAGUAUUUAAUUGUGUUACGGGUGUUUUCACUUUGUCUUUUUACAACAUGUUAUUUGAGAAACUGAGGAAUAUUUUCCAUUUGCUGUUUUAAUAGUCAACUUUCUAAAUGUUUGACGUAACAUACAUAGAGGGAAUGAAAUACUGUUAGUCAAAUAUAUUUUUAUAGAUGACAUAGUACUCAGAUUAGGUGUUUAUUCUACUUAUUUUGAUAAAGAUUCCUCAGAUGAAGGUCAUAUUCAAAUUUAAAAAAAAAAGCAGGUUUAAAAAUUCUUUAGAUGACUGCAGUAUUUAAGUAAUAGUAAUGACAGUUCUUUUAAUUAUGUAGUGAUUGGCUAGGGAUGAAAUCUUACUUUUAUCACCGUGUAUCAAGGAAACAUGCUAUGUAGGUUCACAGUCCUCUUGGGGGCUUUCCUGGGCAGAAGACAGGGAGCGACUGAAGACUGAGGGCAGCCAAUCCAGGUUGGCAGGUACGAUUUUAAAACUAGCAGAGGAAAGUUACAUACCAGGCAGGGGCUCAACAAGACAACUAGAUCCCCACAGGUGCCCACCAAAUCUUACAAGCUUAUAAAGGGGCCUUAACUGGGCUCAGUCACAUGUACCAGGCAGGUGUUUUUAAUAGCACGGCACCAUCUCAAGGCUGUGUCUUUGGAGCAGCCUCUAGAAGCAAGAAAGGCAGGCAGGACCCACAUUCCAAGAACAGGGAGUGAGUGAGGAGCCUCCAGGUCCAGCUCACGGGUUUAUCAGCAGUCACGUCUUUUUUGAUCAAGUUCCUCAACACAUACUACAGAUACUGCAUUUUUAAGAAAAUUGCAUGUUGUGGCAAACCUGUGUCAAGCAAGUCUAUUGGGACCAUUUUUCAAACAGCUUUUGUUCACUUUGUGUUCCGUGUCACAUUUUGGAGAAGAAUUUCAGAAAGUGUGUGGAAAGCAUCACCUUGGGUCUACUUUGCAGAUUCUGAUCGACUAGGUUAAAGAUGAGGUGUAUGUAUUCUAGAAGAAAUCUUUAGUUUCUACAUUUGCUUCCUGUUGUGGUUGGUUAGUUAUAAGGAAUCAAGACUGAUCCAGCCUCAUUUUCUACAAGACUAUGCAACAAGACCCAGUGACAUCUGCACAUGCAAUGGGUUGUGUUAGCAGAGAGGAACUCUGAACUUUGAAAAUCCCAACCUUUUGUAAAAGGCUGCAAGCAAACCUAUUAAAACUUUUUCCUAGAUGGAAGCAUUACCUUUAUUAAACUAAUCAGGUAAGGUAUCUCUCUACCCUGAAGGGAGCUAUUUCUGUCCUUUCAAAGCCAUUUCUGUAUUACCAUCUCUGAAAAGACUGAAAAAAAAAAAAGGUAGCCAGUGUCUCUCCUCACACAACGUGGAGAAAUGCAAAGGAUUCACAAAGAAUUGUCUCACAACUAUAAGUUACAGUUCAUUUUGUUUUCAUACUGAACACUACCAUGUAACUGGCAGGUCAAGAAAUGAACAUUACCAGCAUCUCUGAAACCCGUUUCAUUUCCCCUUCCUUCCACCCUUCCCCCACCAAGUAUAACCACUAUCCUGAAAUAUAACAGCAUAAAUUGCUUAUUUUUUGUACUUAAAAUAUUAAGUGAAAAAAGAUCAUAUACUAUGUACUCAGUCAUGUCUGCUUUGUUCAUUCAUGAUUUGAAUUUGUAUGUAUUGUGAAAUGAUCACUGCAAUAAGUCUAGAUGCCAAACAUACUACACAUUGUUAUAGAAUUGUUUUGUCUUGUGAUCCGAACUUUUAAGAUGUAGUAUCUUAGCAACUUUCAAGUAUGCAUUAUAAAAUUAACUAUAGUAACUAUGCUAAAUAUUAUAUUUCCAUGACUUAUUAUUAGAAUUUUGUAUCUUUUGGCCCUCUUCACCCCUGUCUAUAGGUGUUGAUGUUCAUUGCUGUAUAAACUUUACUGAGUAGCUAAAACACCUCUGUCAUUUGGUAGUUUCUAAUUUUGUCUAUAAUGAAUGUACAUUUUGUGACAUUUAGAGACCAUUUAGUUAUUUUGUACUCAUUCUCUUAUCACCACACAAUAAAGCAAUAUUUCUGUUUUUUUGCAAGAAAA
Felis catus (domestic cat) is the source of this 2343-nucleotide long non-coding RNA. RefSeq lists it as uncharacterized. NCBI's taxonomy places the organism in Eukaryota, Metazoa, Chordata, Mammalia, Carnivora, Felidae. The record is from RefSeq and is a predicted model, not a curated record. The transcript is spliced from 5 exons.